GCAGCCAAGAUGGCUGAGAUCCCAAGACAAGGAAGGGCUUGUGGCUGGGCUCUCAAUCAAUGACCCUCCUGGUGGCCCAACCACCCCACACCCCUGAGCGAAAUCUCUUGAAGUCUAAAAUUAAAGUGUAACAGCUGUGAGAGAUGCUGUUCUUUGAGGAACCAACAGAACGCGUACACUGACCCUUGAAACCACCACUAUUCUCAGAGGUCUUAAAAUAGCCACUAUUUCACUGUAUCUUCUUUCAUUACUUAAAGCAAAUCUUCCAUUUGGAAGAGUUUGGGUUGUUUGGUUGUUUUUUUCUCAAACAAAUAAAGGGGGUGUGAACAUUGA
Molecule: long non-coding RNA, 333 nt
Organism: Pipra filicauda (Wire-tailed manakin)
Lineage: Eukaryota; Metazoa; Chordata; Aves; Passeriformes; Pipridae
Exons: 2
Source: RefSeq, a predicted model, not a curated record